AAGAUAAUAGGCCGGGAAGGCUGAAUACCUGCCUCGUAUAAUGUGUUGUGCUCCGAUCAAUUUACAGAAGAUAGUUUCUGUUCUUAUGAUUCGAGAGUAAGGAAACGUUUGAAACCAGGAGCAUUGCCUACGAUUUGUACAAAAAUUACCCUUGAACCGCAAAGGGACAUUUCGGAAAUAAAUAAUACUACAGAAAACUCCGCCAAGUUACCUGAAGGCUUGUCUAAUUUGGAAGAGAGUGUUGGUGAAAAUGUAAUGAGAUCUCGAGCAAUAAAGAAAAUAUACAUAAGGUUGUCACGAAUGAGGGUUCUUCAUUCCAAAAUUCUCAAGAAUGUGAAAGUGCUUCAGAACCAACCAUAAACAUUUCCAUAAGUGACGGUUCACUAAAUAAUAGAGAUGAUGUGCACGAUGUACUUCAACCUUUUUCAUUUUUGGAAAAUACACCUGAACGGAGUAUUGUCGUGGAUUAUGGGGAAACUGCACAUAAUG
Long non-coding RNA from Belonocnema kinseyi, 489 nucleotides. RefSeq lists it as uncharacterized. The transcript has 4 exons. NCBI's taxonomy places the organism in Eukaryota, Metazoa, Arthropoda, Insecta, Hymenoptera, Cynipidae. The record is from RefSeq and is a predicted model, not a curated record.